ACGUAGGUGGCAAGCGUUGUCCGGAUUUAUUGGGCGUAAAGCGAGCGCAGGCGGUUUUUUAAGUCUGAUGUGAAAGCCCUCGGCUCAACCGGGGAGGGUCAUUGGAAACUGGAGAACUUGAGUGCAGAAGAGGAGAGUGGAAUUCCAUGUGUAGCGGUGAAAUGCGUAGAUAUAUGGAGGAACACCAGUGGCGAAGGCGGCUCUCUGGUCUGUAACUGACGCUGAGGCUCGAAAGCGUGGGUAGCAAACAG
Molecule: ribosomal RNA, 251 nt
Filed under: uncultured bacterium
Lineage: Bacteria
Description: partial 16S ribosomal RNA
Rfam family: Bacterial small subunit ribosomal RNA
Source: RNAcentral